UUUUUCCUUCCCCAAAUUAUGGAAAUUUUUAGCCAUUUUGUCUUCAGAUAAGUUUUCUGGUCCUUUUUCUCUCUCUUCUCUUUCUGGAACUU
This is a long non-coding RNA of Mustela erminea (ermine), 92 nucleotides long. RefSeq lists it as uncharacterized. Lineage: Eukaryota; Metazoa; Chordata; Mammalia; Carnivora; Mustelidae. The transcript is spliced from 3 exons. The record is from RefSeq and is a predicted model, not a curated record.